This 433-nucleotide unclassified non-coding RNA is filed under the name soil metagenome. RNAcentral describes it as "partial contains 5.8S ribosomal RNA, internal transcribed spacer 2, and large subunit ribosomal RNA". The stretch from base 1 to 120 matches the Rfam family "5.8S ribosomal RNA", at positions 35 to 154 of the family's 154-position model. The record is from RNAcentral.
GAUGAAGAACGCAGCGAAAUGCGAUACGUAAUGUGAAUUGCAGAAUACAGUGAAUCAUCGAAUCUUUGAACGCAUAUUGCGCUCUCUGGUAUUCCGGAGAGCAUGCUUGUUUGAGUAUCAGUAAACACCUCAACUUCCAUAUCUUUUUUGAAAUGGGAGUUGGACUUGAGUGAUCCCAACGCUUUUCCUCACCGAAAAGUGGCGGGUUACUUGAAAUGCAGGUGCAGCUGGACUUUUCUCUGAGCUAUAAGCAUAUCUAUUUAGUCUGCCUAAAAAACAGAUUAUUACCUUUGCUGCAGCUAACAUAAAGGAGAUUAGUUCUUGUGCUGACUGAUGCAGGAUUCACAAAGACAGGCUUCGGCCGACUUUGUAAACUCGAUCUCAAAUCAAGUAAGACUACCCGCUGAACUUAAGCAUAUCAAUAAGCGGAGGA